GGCAGGCAAGCGCGGAGUUGGCGUCGUCAUCUUAACAGCAUCUGUGGAGGCCAGCCAGCUGCUUUCGAAGACAUACCGACCGUGGUGCGUCGUCAAAGACGACGGCACUGUUGUAAGCGCUCACUGCACGUGCAUAGCAGGACUUGGAGAAUGCUGCACACACGUGGCUGCCCUAUUAUUCAACAUAGAAGCAGCCAUAAAAUAUGGGCUGAAUGACCCGUCUCCAACUGAGACAGCGUGCAGGUGGUCUGAGGUAUCCAGGAAAUCUAUGGUGGCACCAGUCAGCGAGAUAAAUUUUUUCAAGGCAAAGCCUGGACAACAAGUUCCUGAACCUGCCCCAAGGCAACAAGGGUCUAUUCCAACAUGGAGCUCUGAUAAAAUACACAGCUUCUUGCAGCACGUCAAGACAUUUGCCCCCAGCACACUUGUGUUGAGUUGCAUAACAGACAGUGAAAGUACGGAUUCUUCUCCUGAGACUGCUGCAGAAGAAAGGAAGACCAACCACCAGCACUAUUCAUCGCGAUCAGUAAUAGAUGACAUUUACAGCAAUAUUGACUUGAAUACUGCAAAAAAUGUUCAGCUCAGUAACGAAUGCUGUGAAGAAAUUGAGCAGUCGACCCGUGGGCAAUCACGGACACUUAGAUGGACCCACGAACGCAAAGGUAGAAUAACGGCCUCAGUUUUACAUCGUGUGCUAGUUUGUCGAAGUG
Molecule: long non-coding RNA, 710 nt
Organism: Dermacentor silvarum
Lineage: Eukaryota; Metazoa; Arthropoda; Arachnida; Ixodida; Ixodidae
Exons: 4
Source: RefSeq, a predicted model, not a curated record